CUCUCUCUCUAGCUCUCUCUUUCUGUCUCUUUUUUUUAGGCAACAACCAUUCUGGAAUAAACCUGUUCUGCUCUGGCUUGGGAGAGCAUGGACUAUUCCUGCCUCUUUAUCAACCGCUGGUAUUUCUCUUCUGUACCUUUCAGAAGGACUCUGGAUGUUCCUAAUGACCAGAAAAAGGACGUAGGAAAAAGUGAAGCACAGAGAUAAGUAUCUCAAAGAAGGGUCUCCAGUACUGUCCGGCACGUUCCCGUGGCACUGUGUGUCCUCUCCUUCUGUGGACUGUGGGGACCGACUCCAGUACACUGUUCCCCAGACAGACAACGGCUCAAGUCCACAUGAAGCAAAGAAACACAGCAUGAAUUUGUGAGGCUUACAGAGGACCACAGGCAC
This 390-nucleotide long non-coding RNA is filed under the name Mustela putorius furo (domestic ferret). Its description in RNAcentral is "lncRNA (ENSMPUG00000031796.1)". Lineage: Eukaryota; Metazoa; Chordata; Mammalia; Carnivora; Mustelidae. The record is from RNAcentral.